Molecule: ribosomal RNA, 253 nt
Filed under: uncultured bacterium
Lineage: Bacteria
Description: partial 16S ribosomal RNA
Rfam family: Bacterial small subunit ribosomal RNA
Source: RNAcentral
UACGUAGGGGGCAAGCGUUGUCCGGAUUUACUGGGCGUAAAGGGUGCGCAGGCGGCCUGGCGCGUCGCGAGUGAAAUCUCCUGGCUCAACUGGGAGGGUGGUCGCGAGACGGCUGGGCUUGAGGCUCGGUGAGGGGCGUGGAAUUCCGGGUGGAGCGGUGAAAUGCGUAGAUAUCAGGAGGAACACCAAUUGCGAAGGCAGCUCGCUGGGACGUUACUGACGCUGAGACGCGAAAGCGUGGGGAGCAAACAGG